UUGGAGGGCAAGUCUGGUGCCAGCAGCCGCGGUAAUUCCAGCUCCAAUAGCGUAUAUUAAAGUUGUUGCAGUUAAAAAGCUCGUAGUUGAAUUUCGAGACCGGCUUACUGGUCGUGCUAUUGUACGUACUGGUAUAAUCGGUUUCCCCUUUCUGACGAACUUUAAUGCCAUUAAUUUGGUGUUUUAGGGAAUCAGGACUGUUACUUUGAAAAAAUUAGAGUGUUUAAAGCAGGCUCACGCUUGAAUACAUUAGCAUGGAAUAACGGAAUAGGACGUUUGAUUCUAUUUUGUUGGUUUCUAGGAUCGACGUAAUGAUUAAUAGGGAUAGUUGGGGGCAUUAGUAUUCAAUUGUCAGAGGUGAAAUUCUUGGAUUUAUUGAAGACUAACUACUGCGAAAGCAUUUGCCAAGGAUGUUUUCAUUAAUCAAGAACGAAAGUUAGGGGAUCGAAGACGAUCAGAUACCGUCGUAGUCUUAACCAUAAACUAUGCCGACUAGGGAUCGGAUGAUGUUAAUUUUUUAAUGACUCAUUCGGCGCCUUACGGGAAAC
Molecule: ribosomal RNA, 548 nt
Filed under: uncultured Glomus
Lineage: Eukaryota; Fungi; Glomeromycota; Glomeromycetes; Glomerales; Glomeraceae
Description: SSU rRNA
Rfam family: Eukaryotic small subunit ribosomal RNA
Source: RNAcentral